Molecule: ribosomal RNA, 412 nt
Filed under: Phthinia winnertzi
Lineage: Eukaryota; Metazoa; Arthropoda; Insecta; Diptera; Mycetophilidae
Description: partial 12S ribosomal RNA
Source: RNAcentral
CUGGGAUUAGAUACCCUGUUAUUUAAAUUGUAUUUAAAAAUUACAGAGUAGUAUUAGUUAUGAUCUUAAAACUUAAAAAAUUUGGCGGUAUUUUAAUCUUUUCAGAGGAACUUGUUUUAUAAUUGAUAAUCCUCAUUGUAUCUUACUUAAUUUUGUUUAAUUUGUAUAUCGCCGUCAUAAGAAAAUCUUAAGAAAGAAAUAAUUUUCUAAUUUUUUUUUAAUAGAAUAAAUGUCAGGUCAAGGUGCAGUUUAUGAUUAAGAAAAAAUGAGUUACAAUAAAUAUAAUUUAUAAAUAUUUAUACAGUUUAAGUUUUGUAAUAAAUUUAAUAAGGUGGAUUUGAUAGUAAAAUAAUUAAUAAAAAUUAUUUGAUUAUAGUUCUAAAAUAUGUACAAAUCGCCCGUCACUCUCUGA